This 496-nucleotide ribosomal RNA is filed under the name uncultured bacterium. RNAcentral describes it as "bacterial SSU rRNA". It matches the Rfam family "Bacterial small subunit ribosomal RNA", at positions 29 to 518 of the family's 1533-position model. The record is from RNAcentral.
AUGAACGCUAGCGACAGGCCUAACACAUGCAAGUCGAGGGGCAGCACAAGGAGCAAUCUGAGGUGGCGACCGGCGCACGGGUGAGUAACACGUAUGCAACCUGCCUGUAAGCGGGGGAUAACCCGUUGAAAGACGGACUAAUACCGCAUAAUACUAAAUUACUGCAUGGUAAUUUAUUUAAACAUUUAUGGCUUACAGAUGGGCAUGCGCAUGAUUAGCUAGUUGGAGAGGUAACGGCUCCCCAAGGCAACGAUCAUUAGGGGUUCUGAGAGGAAGGUCCCCCACACUGGUACUGAGACACGGACCAGACUCCUACGGGAGGCAGCAGUGAGGAAUAUUGGUCAAUGGACGAGAGUCUGAACCAGCCAAGUCGCGUGCAGGAAGAAUGUCCUUAAUGGAUUGUAAACUGCUUUUGCAGGGGAAUAAAGUGCAUCACGUGUGAUGUUUUGUAUGUACUCUGCGAAUAAGGAUCGGCUAACUCCGUGCCAGCCGCUGC